AUCCCUCACACACACAGCACCCCUCACACAUACACACAGCACCACUACACCCCUCACUGAUGUGUGUAUGUGUGAGGGGUGCUGUGUGUGUGAGGGAU
Pelobates cultripes (western spadefoot toad) is the source of this 98-nucleotide non-coding RNA. The record is from the annotation of a GenBank genome assembly. NCBI's taxonomy places the organism in Eukaryota, Metazoa, Chordata, Amphibia, Anura, Pelobatidae.